RNAcentral lists this transfer RNA (87 nucleotides) under Planctomycetaceae bacterium. RNAcentral describes it as "tRNA-Ser". It matches the Rfam family "tRNA". Rfam says of the family: Transfer RNA (tRNA) molecules are approximately 80 nucleotides in length. Their secondary structure includes four short double-helical elements and three loops (D, anti-codon, and T loops). The record is from RNAcentral. Lineage: Bacteria; Pseudomonadati; Planctomycetota; Planctomycetia; Planctomycetales; Planctomycetaceae.
GGAUGGGUGGCAGAGUGGACGAUUGCGACGGUCUUGAAAACCGUUUUACGAGAAAUCGUAACGUGGGUUCGAAUCCCACCCCAUCCG